Molecule: ribosomal RNA, 510 nt
Filed under: uncultured bacterium
Lineage: Bacteria
Description: bacterial SSU rRNA
Rfam family: Bacterial small subunit ribosomal RNA
Source: RNAcentral
GACGAACGCUGGCGGCGUGGAUUAGGCAUGCAAGUCGAACGGUAUCAUCCUUUCGGGGGUGAGAGAGUGGCGAACUGGUGAGUAACACGUAGGUUAUCUACCCUCAAGACGGGGACAACCCAGGGAAACUUGGGCUAAUACCGGAUGUGAGCAACUUUUAGUUGUUUGAAAGGUGGCGUAAGCUGUCGCUUGGGGAUGAGCCUGCGUCCUAUUAGUUAGUUGGUGAGGUAACGGCUCACCUAGGCAAUGAUAGGUAGGCGGCCUUAACGGGUGGUCGCCCACACUGGGAUUGAGAUACGGCCCAGACUCCUACGGGAGGCAGCAGUCGAGAAUAGUCUACAAUGGUCGGAAGACUGAUAGUGCGACGCCGCGUGAACGAUGAAUCCCUUCGGGGUGUAAAGUUCUUUUAUAUGUGAGCAGUGCUUCUUAUAUUAACAGUAUGGGGAGAGAGAUAUUAGCAUAUGAAUAAGCAACGGCUAACUCCGUGCCAGCAGCCGACGGUAAACUCGU